RNAcentral lists this ribosomal RNA (373 nucleotides) under uncultured organism. RNAcentral describes it as "partial 16S ribosomal RNA". It matches the Rfam family "Bacterial small subunit ribosomal RNA", at positions 527 to 896 of the family's 1533-position model. The record is from RNAcentral.
GUAGGUGGCAAGCGUUGUCCGGAAUUAUUGGGCGUAAAGCGCGCGCAGGUGGGUUCUUUAAGUCUGAUGUGAAAGCCCCCGGGCUCAACCGGGGAGGGUCAUUGGAAACUGGGGAACUUGAGUGCAGGAGAGGAAAGUGGAAUUCCACGUGUAGCGGUGAAAUGCGUAGAUAUGUGGAGGAACACCAGUGGCGAAGGCGACUUUCUAGCCUGUAACUGACACUGAGGCGCGAAAGCGUGGGGAGCAAACAGGAUUAGAUACCCUGGUAGUCCACGCCGUAAACGAUGAGUGCUAAGUGUCGGGGGGUUUCCGCCCCUCAGUGCUGCAGCUAACGCAUUAAGCACUCCGCCUGGGGAGUACGGUCGCAAGACUG